Non-coding RNA from Paramuricea clavata, 73 nucleotides. NCBI's taxonomy places the organism in Eukaryota, Metazoa, Cnidaria, Anthozoa, Malacalcyonacea, Plexauridae. The record is from the annotation of a GenBank genome assembly.
GGUUUCGUAGUGUAGCGGCCAUCUCCUGCGCCUAACACGCGCAAGGUUCCCGGUUCGAUCCUGGGCGGAAACA